RNAcentral lists this ribosomal RNA (253 nucleotides) under uncultured bacterium. RNAcentral describes it as "partial 16S ribosomal RNA". It matches the Rfam family "Bacterial small subunit ribosomal RNA", at positions 524 to 776 of the family's 1533-position model. The record is from RNAcentral.
UACGUAGGGUGCAAGCGUUGUCCGGAAUUAUUGGGCGUAAAGAGCUCGUAGGCGGUCUGUCGCGUCUGCUGUGAAAACUCGGGGCUUAACCCCGGGCCUGCAGUGGGUACGGGCAGACUAGAGUGCGGUAGGGGAGACUGGAAUUCUCGGUGUAGCGGUGAAAUGCGUAGAUAUCGAGAGGAACACCUGCGGCGAAGGCGGGUUGCUGGGCUGAUACUGACGCUGAGGCGCGAAAGCCAGGGGAGCGAACGGG